Gasterosteus aculeatus aculeatus (three-spined stickleback) is the source of this 1181-nucleotide long non-coding RNA. The record is from Ensembl. NCBI's taxonomy places the organism in Eukaryota, Metazoa, Chordata, Actinopteri, Perciformes, Gasterosteidae.
GUAAGUAACAGCGUGCGUCACAUGAAUCAACAGCAAUGAUGACCUCAUUUUUACCACAAAACUCACUCCACACUCUUUGAGCAGCUCCAGAUGCAUGAGCGUUCACACACACGCACCUUAAACAUUUGACUUCCUGUCUGGCUUAGAGCUCAUGCAGGUGUUGUGCCUGGCGGCAAAGCCAAAUACCCAAACAACUACCAUCACACCUGGCUGGAACCGCAGACAACCGCAUGAGGCCCCCCAAAACAGACUGAGACCCUGAAAUGAUGCUGGUUUUCCGGUUGAUUCACCGGCAGCAUCUUGAGUCACAGCCAUUGGGUCCGACUCCAAUCGCGCAGCUGCUGCCAGCUUAAUUGACUCCAGCGAGGAAUCGUCUAUUUUAUCUGUUCUCUUAAUUCUCCUGCUGACGGGACCGACUCACAUGCUGACGUUCAGGUGGACCCGCUAUCAUUGGAAUCUGUUCAAGCUCAAUGGGUGGCCUGAUUAACGGAACAUGGUUUAGACCAGCUGGCUCACGGCUUCUUCAUUUCUGCUGUUUUUGUUGUUGUCAUUUUUUUUGUCUUUUAUUUCUUCAAUUUACAAUCCUUAUUUUUUAUUUGUAUGCUAAAAGAUAACCAAACCCUGGAGGGCCUCAACCCUCGAGCCAAGUGACGUCUACCGUCGGCUAAUUUUGUGAAACCAGUGGAACAUUAUCAGGACAUUCCUCUCCGUUCCCUGGAAGUACACAUGACAACGUCUGCUGAAUCGGCGUAAAGGAUUGAUGGUCUGGCACUAGCACUGUGCUUCCCCAUACUGUGACACGAAUGAAUGGAUGAAUAUCAUUUAGGGGCCUGCUAGCUGGCUCAUUCCGCCAUGUUGUCAUGCUACUAUACGGAAUAUAAAAAUCACCAAUGUGAAAUGCUUGGCUUGUUCUACUUUACUUCAAGAUGUAGACAUUAUACGUUUUUAAUUGACAUACUAAUCGCCAGCACUAAUGCUAAUCAUGUUAAUCUGUUGCCCGUAUAUUUUGAAUCCAUAAUUUUGAAACCCAAAGCCAAUUUCUUCCUACUGAAGACAUCUGUCAAACAGCUCAGGUCUAUAUAUUUUCAUUUUUAUAAAAUUGAAAUGUAAAAGUCUAUUUUUAGGGACUACUUUUAAGCAGCAAAUUGAUUUACAUUUGAUUUCCGGCGAGUAAUUUAGAA